UAAGUUGAAGUCAUUAAGUUUCUGUUGGGGAGUUGUAAGGCUAAUUUAUACUUGGGUGCUCGGUGAUGUCUGGACCAUACACAAGCUAAGGCUUUAGAUUCUCCAAAAUACUGCUAAAACUAGUAGUUUCCAAGAAUUGGUCAGAUAAGACCUAAUCACUGAUUCAAAACCAUCCUACCUUGCAGGAUUUCGAGAGUUGUGGAUGUUUACUUUAAUACCUCAUGGGCUUUAUCUGUAAUAUUCCAGUUUACUCGAAUUUUUACAACGACGGCUUUCACACUAUCGUCUUUUUCAAGGUCAAUAUUAUUUUCUCUUUUUCUC
Molecule: long non-coding RNA, 321 nt
Filed under: Phoenix dactylifera (date palm)
Lineage: Eukaryota; Viridiplantae; Streptophyta; Magnoliopsida; Arecales; Arecaceae
Description: long non-coding RNA (PDAC_LNC009674)
Source: RNAcentral